Molecule: ribosomal RNA, 642 nt
Filed under: uncultured cyanobacterium
Lineage: Bacteria; Bacillati; Cyanobacteriota
Description: bacterial SSU rRNA
Rfam family: Bacterial small subunit ribosomal RNA
Source: RNAcentral
AAUCUUCCUUCAGGUCGGGGAUAAACAGCUGGAAAAGGCUGCUAAUACCUGGAUGAGCCGAGAGGUAAAAGCAAAAAGUGCCUGAAGAUGAGCUCGCGUCUGAUUAGCUAGUUGGUGGGGUAAGAGCCUACCAAGGUGACGAUCAGUAGCUGGUCUGAGAGGAUGAUCAGCCACACUGGGACUGAGACACGGCCCAGACUCGUACGGGAGGCAGCAGUGGGGAAUUAUCCGCAAAUGGCGCAAGCCUGACGGAGCAAUACCGCGUGAGGGAGGAAGGCCCUUGGGUUGUAAACCUCUUUUGUCAGGGAAGAAGGUCUGACGGUACCUGACGAAUCAGCAUCGGCUAACUCCUUGCCAGCAGCCGCGGUAAUACGGAGGAUGCAAGCGUUAUCCGGAUUUAUUGGGCGUAAAGGGUCCGCAGGUGGUUAUUCAAGUCUGCUGUCAAAGCGCGGAGCUUAAUUCUGUACAGGCGGUGGAAACUGAGGAACUAGAGUCUGGUAGGGGUCGCGGGAAUUCCCAGUGUAGCGGUGAAAUGCGUAGAUAUUGGGAAGAACACCGGCGGCGAAAGCGCGCGACUGGACCGGAACUGACACUGAGGGACGAAAGCUAGGGGAGCGAAAGGGAUUAGAUACCCCUGUAGUC